CUAGUAACGGCGAGUGAAGCGGCAACAGCUCAAAUUUGAAAUCUGGCUUCGGCCCGAGUUGUAAUUUGCAGAGGAAGCUUUAGGCGCGGCACCUUCUGAGUCCCCUGGAACGGGGCGCCAUAGAGGGUGAGAGCCCCGUAUAGUUGGAUGCCUAGCCUGUGUAAAGCUCCUUCGACGAGUCGAGUAGUUUGGGAAUGCUGCUCAAAAUGGGAGGUAAAUUUCUUCUAAAGCUAAAUACCGGCCAGAGACCGAUAGCGCACAAGUAGAGUGAUCGAAAGAUGAAAAGCACUUUGAAAAGAGGGUUAAACAGCACGUGAAAUUGUUGAAAGGGAAGCGCUUGUGACCAGACUUGCGCCAGGCUGAUCAUCCGGUGUUCUCACCGGUGCACUCGGCCCGGCACAGGCCAGCAUCGGUUCUCGCGGGGGGAUAAAGGUCUCGGGAACGUAGCUCCUCCGGGAGUGUUAUAGCCCGGGGCGUAAUGCCCUCGCGGGGACCGAGGUUCGCGCAUCUGCAAGGAUGCUGGCGUAAUGGUCAUCAGCGACCCGUCUUGAAACACGGACCAAGGAGUCAAGGUUUUGCGCGAGUGUUUGGGUGUCAAACCCGCACGCGUAAUGAAAGUGAACGUAGGUGAGAGCUUCGGCGCAUCAUCGACCGAUCCUGAUGUUUUCGGAUGGAUUUGAGUAGGAGCGUUAAGCCUUGGACCCGAAAGAUGGUGAACUAUGCUUGGAUAGGGUGAAGCCAGAGGAAACUCUGGUGGAGGCUCGCAGCGGUUCUGACGUGCAAAUCGAUCGUCAAAUCUGAGCAU
Molecule: ribosomal RNA, 805 nt
Filed under: Dichotomopilus funicola
Lineage: Eukaryota; Fungi; Ascomycota; Sordariomycetes; Sordariales; Chaetomiaceae
Description: eukaryotic LSU rRNA
Rfam family: Eukaryotic large subunit ribosomal RNA
Source: RNAcentral